UAGUGAGUUUGAUCCUGGCUCAGGAUGAACGCUGGCGGUAUGCUUAACACAUGCAAGUCGAACGGGGUUCUUCGGAACCUAGUGGCGGACGGGUGAGUAACGCGUGAGAAACUGCCCCUUGGACCGGGACAACAGCUGGAAACGGCUGCUAACACCGGAUGUGCCGAAAGGUGAAAUAUUUAUAGCCAGGGGAUGUGCUCGCGUCCGAUUAGCUAGUUGGAGAGGUAAAGGCUCACCAAGGCAUCGAUCAGUAGCUGGUCUGAGAGGACGAUCAGCCACACUGGGACUGAGACACGGCCCAGACUCCUACGGGGAGGCAGCAGUGGGGAAUUUUCCGCAAUGGGGCAAAGCCUGACGGAGCAAGACCGCGUGAGGGAGAAGGCUCUUGGGGUUGUAAACCACUUUUGUCAGGAAAGAACACAAUGACGGUACCUGAGUAAUAGCAACCGGCUAACUCCGUGCCAGCAGCCGCGGUAAUCUGAUGGCGCGA
RNAcentral lists this ribosomal RNA (490 nucleotides) under uncultured bacterium. Its description in RNAcentral is "bacterial SSU rRNA". It matches the Rfam family "Bacterial small subunit ribosomal RNA", at positions 1 to 537 of the family's 1533-position model. The record is from RNAcentral.